UACGUAGGGUGCAAGCGUUGUCCGGAAUUAUUGGGCGUAAAGAGCUCGUAGGCGGUUCGUCGCGUCGGCUGUGAAAACCCGGAGCUCAACUCCGGGCCUGGAGUCGAUACGGGCGGACUUGAGUGCGGUAGGGGAGAUUGGAAUUCCUGGUGUAGCGGUGGAAUGCGCAGAUAUCAGGAGGAACACCGAUGGCGAAGGCAGAUCUCUGGGCCGUAACUGACGCUGAGGAGCGAAAGCAUGGGGAGCGAACAGG
RNAcentral lists this ribosomal RNA (253 nucleotides) under uncultured bacterium. RNAcentral describes it as "partial 16S ribosomal RNA". It matches the Rfam family "Bacterial small subunit ribosomal RNA", at positions 524 to 776 of the family's 1533-position model. The record is from RNAcentral.